RNAcentral lists this long non-coding RNA (165 nucleotides) under Mustela putorius furo (domestic ferret). Its description in RNAcentral is "lncRNA (ENSMPUG00000028197.1)". Lineage: Eukaryota; Metazoa; Chordata; Mammalia; Carnivora; Mustelidae. The record is from RNAcentral.
GCUAUGGGGAAACAGAGGUUAACAAGACAUUUCUCUUGCUCUGGAGCAAUCAUCAACAGACAUACACUUCAAGGUGGUCUAAAGUCUCUUCUGUCCUCUGGAAAGAACUGGCAACUCCUCAAGCAAACACUGGUGCUCUUUCCUGUCACCAGGCUUCGUGGAUAA